AUCGAUAUCGCAAAAUACCGGUAUACCGGUAUUUUCAACGUGUUUUUUUAAGCCAAACUGAACUGCUGAACGUCCAGAAAAAUCAAGUUUUGACAAAAUAUUGUGACACAUACUGUUAUUAGUGCAAGUGUCACAAGAUUCGCAUUAUCAUGCUAUAUUAACGGCGCUAAGUGGCAAUUAUUACUGCCCAAUAAAUAUUUCGAGAAAAAAACUUGAAAAGGUUUUUUCUGCUUCGCAAAUGCUAGUACUUCCACUUUCCAAAAUCGUAGGUUCCUUUUUUACCAAAAUUUUCCUUCAAGAAUUUCGCCAUUUAUAUAUUUCCGAUUAAUUUAAGGCGAUUUAAUAAACAAGACGUCUUUGUACUGCUAAACCAAAGCUGCUAGAACUGUAAGAACAAAAUCGUCCAUCUGUGAGUGAUAACUUUGGAUUUUAAACGUGAUUGUAGGCAAGUUUAACUUGAAACAGCGUUUCAAAUCGGUAUUACGCAGAAAAUACCGAAAUGUCGGUAUAUCGGUAUUUUUGAAUAGUCAAUAUCGCCAAUACCGAUAUCUAAACAAAUACCGGUAUACCGAAUAUAUCCGGUAUAUCAAUCCACUCUAUAAAUAAUGGAUAAAAGUAUUCAAAGGAAUGGAUGACUCCAGCUAGCUAUAGACGAAAUUUUGAUCUAGACAAGAACGAAAUCCAUUACCAUAGGAAGUAAAAUAGCAAAGUUUGGUUGCGAGAUGUUGUAAAAUGAGGAAAAUGUGGCCCUGUGAAGUUCGCAAAUUUCGUAUAUGUUUGCAUGCAUUACGCGCGGGAAAAUAACCAUUUUUGAGACGAAAGUGGUUAGUUUCACCGCGCGUAAUACAAAUGUAUACAAACUUUGCGAACUUCACAACAGGGCUAUAUUUUCUUCAUUUUACAACAUUUCACAACUACCAAACUUUGCAGUUUUACUCAUUCUAAGAUACUCUUUCUAGGUGUGGUGUUGGAUUUCGUUCUUCUUGCCUUGAUCAAAAUUUAGUCUAUAUAGCUGGAAUCACCCAUUUAAAGUAUUUUACUUUUAAUAUAUAUCGUGAAGCGAAAAUUGUCUUUUAUAUUUAAACGUAUUUCUAUAUGGGAAUGGCAGCAAGGCCUGGUCGCAAGCCGUUAGGAAGAAAGUGAGCGGCUCUCUCUCUAUACAGGGGAUCCGAAAAAACCCACUGAAACUAUUGAUGGAGAUAUCCGUUCUGCAUUUAGAACGCGUUGUGCAAAACUUUCCCAUGAUUGUAAUUAACCUUGUUUAAAAAUACCAUAUAAAAAAAGGUUCUUGAAUUUCAAAAAUCUGGUAUAGCAGGACAAUGCGAUUUCUAUAAUUGGCUUCGUGUUUUAAUUAAAUCAUUUUAAAAAUGGAAGUUACGCUAAAUGGAAAUGAACAGAAACAGAACUUGGGUUCAAAUGCCAGUACUCUGCUCAGCCGACAAGACUUCAUAUGUAAC
Molecule: non-coding RNA, 1457 nt
Organism: Paramuricea clavata
Lineage: Eukaryota; Metazoa; Cnidaria; Anthozoa; Malacalcyonacea; Plexauridae
Source: the annotation of a GenBank genome assembly